GCGAGUUGCUGCAAGUCGCGCCGGGAGCUUGGGCGCGAGUGGUCCCGCUGAAGGGUUCCCUCCUCCUCCUCUUCCUCCUCCUCUUCCUGAGUCCGCCAGCUAACGCGGACUGGAACUCUCCCGGAAGUAAUUUCUCCUGGGGGACUUCCCUGGUGGUCCAGUUGGUAAGACUCCGCGCUCCCAAUGCAGGGUGUCUGAGUUCGAUCCCUGGUCAGACAACUAGAUCCCACAUGCCGCAACUAAGAGUCAGCAUGCCACAACUAAGAGUCAGCAUGCCGCAACUAAAGACCCUGCGUGCCGCAACUAAGACCCGGCACAGCCAAAGUAUUCCCAUAGCCCUGAUCCUCUGAAGCUGUGAUUUGGCUUGCAAGAGGAAAGAAGCCUUCAUCACUGGCCUGGAUGGAGCAGCCUGUGAUCAGAAAACCCUUUCACCCUCUGCUACUUACGCCUGGGAUUGGAAGACCCUGUGGGAUGAGCUGUCCAGGCUUUCCUGGGAUGAGAGAUGGAAACCACCAGCACGUGUCUUGUUAAAACUAAACAGUCAAAAGUAGCCUCAUAUGUUCCUUGGAAGACAUCUGCCCUCCCUGACUGGAGGUGUUUCACAAAAGAGUCCGCAUGUCUCAAGCUCUGAAAUAGGAAUUGUGUGCCUGGAGGUGACUUCAUCUAUCCGCCUGGUUCUCUCUUCCAUCCCCCAGCCGAUCUCUGCUCUUGUGUCUGCCUAUCCUUCUGACUUGGCGCUGGACCCAGGGGGCUGACACAGACUCAUUCAGGUGAAUGGCUGCUCAUACACCCACCUUUCUUUGUUUCCACGUGGCCUGGCUCCUCCAGGGCUCUCCCCUAUCCUGGGCUCCCGGGUUUUGGACUAGGAAGUGACCAGAAGCCUUGAAGGCUUGUAGGUGAAAGUGGACAAGAUGCUGGCAAGGGGUGUUCCAGAACAAUUCCCAGAAACAUGGAAGCAGGGAUGCAGGGUGAUGCAUCACUCCUCUUCCCCUCCUCCCUCAGAGCUGAGACUAUCAGCAGAGGCCAGAAAUCUUGGAGAGGAAAGUGCUGGGUGUGUGUAUGUAGCCAGGGGAA
Molecule: long non-coding RNA, 1074 nt
Organism: Eubalaena glacialis (North Atlantic right whale)
Lineage: Eukaryota; Metazoa; Chordata; Mammalia; Artiodactyla; Balaenidae
Exons: 3
Source: RefSeq, a predicted model, not a curated record